This 104-nucleotide small nuclear RNA is filed under the name Macaca fascicularis (crab-eating macaque). The record is from RNAcentral. Lineage: Eukaryota; Metazoa; Chordata; Mammalia; Primates; Cercopithecidae.
AUGUAUAUGCUCACUUUGGCAGCAAAAUUGGAAGAAUAUAGAGAAGAUCAGCACAGUCCCUGCCUAAAAAUAGCAUGCAAAUUUAUGAAGCAUUCCAUAUUUUA